AGCGGCCCGCUCGGGCGGCGGCGCUGCGCUGCGCUGCGCUGCGCUGCGCUGCGCUGCCCGGGCUCUGCGCACCCGCGCUUCCUUUUCUGCAGAAGUAGCUCCCCUUUCACGUGUUAUUUCCUUUUUUUAAAAGCGGUUAUUCAGCUGCUGUGAUGACUUUUCUGUCCAGAUGACAAUCUCUCUCAGCGCUAUGGUAAUGGGGCUGCUCAGCUGAAAGUAGAUGCUUGAAAAUUCUCUGCACUCUUCCAUCCUACCAGCAAACAGGCUCUCCAUGGAUUUCUUAUGCAGAAAGCCCUGCAGGCAUCUAUCACUAUGGAAGAGGAAGAAACUGAUCUGCAGUAUUUUCUAAAAUAAUGUUUACAGGAAGGAUUACUGAAAUAACUGGGUCCUUUUGAUCCUGCGGACACUGGUUUGUAUUCCUCACGCAAACACUUCGCUACCAGUAAGUUUGCUGGCGGCCCUGCGGCGCAGAUGCCCCGUGCACACACGGAAGCGGAGGAGGUGCGGAGCCGGCUCGGGGCGCGCAGGGCGCUGCUGGCGCCGAGGGACCUCCUUGCCAAGCUGCUGCCCUUCGGCUGACGGAGCGAUGAGGGGCUGGCGGCGCAACUGCGCUCCAUGACGCACCGCUUCCUCUGCCACCUCCUCCUCCAGGCAGAGGCAAGGGAAAACCUGCUCAUCGACGCUGCGGUAGGUUUGCUGCCGGACGGCCACGUUGCGUUUCAGAACGCACUGCAGCUUCUUUCUCAGUUUCUCUUCUUUCUCUAGUAAAAAACCUUU
This is a long non-coding RNA of Rhea pennata, 777 nucleotides long. RefSeq lists it as uncharacterized. The record is from RefSeq and is a predicted model, not a curated record. The transcript has 4 exons. Lineage: Eukaryota; Metazoa; Chordata; Aves; Rheiformes; Rheidae.